CUUGAGAACUCAGGGCUAAUUCCCCAUAACAUUGCGAAAGGGCAUCCAAUUGCAAUUAAAGAUUCGUCGGUUAGAGAUGGGCGUGCGUUCGAUUAGCUAGUUGGUAAGGUAACGGCUUACCAAGGCAACGAUCGAUAGCUGGUGUGAGAGCACGACCAGCCACACGGGCACUGAGAUACGGGCCCGACUCCCACGGGAGGCAGCAGUAAGGAAUAUUGGUCAAUGGGCGAAAGCCUGAACCAGCCACGCCGCGUGAAGGAUGAAGGUCCUCUGGAUUGUAAACUUCUUUUAUCUAUGAAUAAACGCCUGAUUUCUAUCGGGUUUGAAGGUAAUAGAUGAAUAAGCACCGGCUAACUCCGUGCCAGCAGCCGCGGUAAUACGGAGGGUGCAAGCGUUAUCCGGAUUCACUGGGUUUAAAGGGUGCGUAGGUUGAUAGGUAAGUCAGUGGUGAAAUACUCCGACUCAAUCGGAGAACUGCCGUUGAUACUAUUUAUUCUUGAAUACCGUGGAGGCGGGCGGAAUGCGUCAUGUAGUGGUGAAAAUACUUAGAUAUGACGCAGAACACCCAUUGCGAAGGCAGCUCGCU
This 586-nucleotide ribosomal RNA is filed under the name uncultured bacterium. Its description in RNAcentral is "bacterial SSU rRNA". It matches the Rfam family "Bacterial small subunit ribosomal RNA", at positions 148 to 730 of the family's 1533-position model. The record is from RNAcentral.